Molecule: long non-coding RNA, 651 nt
Organism: Tribolium madens (black flour beetle)
Lineage: Eukaryota; Metazoa; Arthropoda; Insecta; Coleoptera; Tenebrionidae
Exons: 2
Source: RefSeq, a predicted model, not a curated record
CCUGCUCCGCCAUUUUCUUCACUUGCAUCCUGGCGUUGUUACAGUGGUUAUGGUUUUCGAACCAGAUAAUCUGUGGAUACGGCUUCUCCCAAUCUUCACUCCGUUUAUAAAACUGUUCCGAUCUAAUAGUCGAUGGAUGUUCGUUGCAGUGGCGCCCCCAAAUUGUCAAUUUUUGAACUGACAAAAUUCAAAGUUUGCAUCACCUUGUAUUGUGAAAUUACAAUUUCAUAAUUUUUUAUAAGUGUUUUCUAAUUGUUUAUUUUUAUUUUAUUAUUUCGUCUUACUGGCGAAAAUUUCAUAAAGGGAAAGAAAUGUUUCGUUUGUGGCAAGGGUAAUACUUUAAUCUUUUUGAGUUCUCCAGCGAUUUUAAAGAGCGUACUAAGUGGCUGGAAAUUAUUGAAGGAUUAUGGUACAGACAAAAUUGUAUCGCUCUUUUGACUUGUUAUUUACAGAUGUUUCAAAAUUAAAGGAUCAAUCAGUUAUUUGCAAAGAUCACUUUGAAGAAAAUUCGUUUUAUUUUACAAAAUUAUCUUGCCGGCUAAUCAAAUGAGUGUUACUACCUUCAGUUAAUAUCUUCAGUAUUUGUAAGUAUAAAUAAGAGUUAUCCAAUAAAAAAAAUGGUUACACAUAUUAAAGUAAAAUUACAAAUUA